RNAcentral lists this unclassified non-coding RNA (200 nucleotides) under soil metagenome. RNAcentral describes it as "partial contains internal transcribed spacer 2 and large subunit ribosomal RNA". The record is from RNAcentral.
AUCCACUCAAGCCUGGCUUGGUAUUGGGCCGCCGGGGACCCCCCGCGCCUCCAUUUCGCCGGCUGGCCGUCGUUUGACUUAGCGUUGUGACACAUGUCGCUGACGACGAAGACGGACUGCGCCGUGAGAAUUUCCUUGAGUAUCGUCGAUAUUCAGUAAAGGUUGACCUCGGAUCGGGUAGGAAUACCCGCUGAACUUAA